CAGGAAGCUUCUCACUGUAACCAGUGUCUGUAAUCUGGUUCAGGUUAUUAAUCAACCCACUCAACAGGAAGCUUCUCACUGUAACCAGUGUCUGUAAUCUGGUUCAGGUUAUUAACCAACCCACUCAACAGGAAGCUUCUCACUGUAACCAGCGUCUGUAAUCUGGUUCAGGUUAUUAAUCAACCCACUCAACAGGAAGCUUCUCACUGUGACCAGUGUCUGUAAUCUGGUUCAGGUUAUUAAUCAACCCACUCAACAGGAAGCUUCUCACUGUAACCAGCGUCUGUAAUCUGGUUCAGGUUAUUAAUCAACCCACUCAACAGGAAGCUUCUCACUGUGACCAGCGUCUGUAAUCUGGUUCAGGUUAUUAAUCAACCCACUCAACAGGAAGCUUCUCACUGUAACCAGUGUCUGUAAUCUGGUUCAGGUUAUUAAUCAACCCACUCAACAGGAAGCUUCUCACUGUAACCAGUGCCUGUAAUCUGGUUCAGGUUAUUAAUCAACCCACUCAACAGGAAGCUUCUCACUGUAACCAGUGUCUGUAAUCUGGUUCAGGUUAUUAAUCAACCUACUCAACAGGAAGCUUCUCACUGUGACCAGUGUCUGUAAUCUGGUUCAGGUUAUUAAUCAACCCACUCAACAGGAAGCUUCUCACUGUAACCAGUGUCUGUAAUCUGGUUCAGGUUAUUAAUCAACCCACUCAACAGGAAGCUUCUCACUGUAACCAGUGUCUGUAAUCUGGUUCAGGUUAUUAAUCAACCCACUCAACAGGAAGCUUCUCACUGUAACCAGUGUCUGUAAUCUGGUUCAGGUUAUUAAUCAACCCACUCAACAGGAAGCUUCUCACUGUAACCA
Long non-coding RNA from Oncorhynchus keta (chum salmon), 855 nucleotides. RefSeq lists it as uncharacterized. The transcript has 3 exons. The record is from RefSeq and is a predicted model, not a curated record. Lineage: Eukaryota; Metazoa; Chordata; Actinopteri; Salmoniformes; Salmonidae.